UAUAUAUAUGUACACAUACUCCACGAUUCAUUGGUUAAUGAAUCGAGUUUAAAGGCCAAAUAUUCAUAUUUCACUCUUGUAAAAUUUACAUUCCACUUUUAUUCAUAUAGUUUCAGUUUGGGAAACAAUUAACCAUGUACUUACAAGAUGUAGCAAUCUACGAAAAACUGUACGGUUUUCACCGCUUUUUAUAUUAGUUUCUAAAGCACAAGAGUAUUAAAAGUCAAGAUAAUUGAUGCAAUGCAACAAAGAGAAUAAUAAAAGGUUUUUUCUGUUAAAGUCAAUAGAUUCUUUUGUAUUUAGGGAUAUAUCAGGAGUAAAUUUCAUUUUUGGGCUAGAUUAAUGAAUUAUUUUUAUUAAUUAUUUUAAGAUCAAAGGCAUAGGGCUCGUGUUUUAUGUGCUUUCUUAGUUUGUGCAUGAAAAGUACUAUUUAACCUAUAUUAAGAUUAAAAGAAUAUUCUGUACUCUCUCUCCUUCACUUCUCUGACUCUUGCUCUUGAUAACCCAAACAAAUUUAUGAAAUUACAAGAAAUAGACACGAUCUUUACCGCAAACGCCAAUCAAUUUUGUUUUGAAUCUAUUCGAUUUCAUCUUAAAUCCUUUUAAUUCGCUGUGAGAUCCGUUUGCCUUCACCGCCACUGCUAUAUCACUUUCUGGUGGUGGCCACGCAAAUUGGUUGGAAGAUAUGGGUUUGUCUCCUCAAUUUCAAGUUCAAGAAAUUGAAUGGUGUUUGUGGAGCCACCGCACAAGAGGAGGAUGAUGAUAAGGUCGCCGAGCUUGUAGUUGUGGUUGGGGAGACCUUUGAAGCUGUUGUGGAUGAGAAAGACAGAGCUAAAUCAAGCUUUUAGGGAAUUUCAAAUGGAUUUUGUUUUAUUAUAUACUUUCAAUAGGAAUUUUCUGAUUUUGUUUUUGUCUUGUUCAUGCUUGAUGGGUUCUCCUUGUGAUACACCGGGCAAUAGUUCUAGUUUACUACUGGAAAAAAGAAAAAAAAUUGUGGGGUAAGUGGGAAGGGCACACGAAUUGUGUAAUAUAUGACUAAGACUAUUUUUUUUGAAGCCUAUCGGAGCUAGAAGGACGACAAAAUUGGUAGUUCAAUGAUGGAAGCAGAGCCUUUGACUGGGUUUAAGGAGUUCAAGUGGCAAAGUGUGGGAACUCUGCAUUGCAAUUUCUGUUUCACAAUGCAAACUGCAAUGCAGAGUCUGAAUUUACUACAACAUCAUGAUUGACAUGAUUCCUUCCAAACCAUCAAUGACCUCCACGAAAUCAUGAAGUGGAUAAUGGCGGCAAGGUUUGGGAAGGAGUGGUUGCACGUGUAUAUCAACUAGUAAAGAACUAAGAAACGGACACUGCGAUGGAGCGUCAAAAUUAAAAUGUAAAAAGUAGAAUUAGGAAUACAAAUGUAGAAAAACAAAACAGGCAACGCAGUGUCUGAAUCCAAACGUAAAAAAUAGAUCUACAAAAUGGACACUACACCGCAGCGUCUGAAUUCAAAUAUUAAAAAAUAAAAAAAUAAACAGAUACAGGAAAUGGACACUGCAUUGAAGUGUCUAAAUCUUUAUGUAAAAAAACAUAACAGGAAAAGGACACAUCGUUGCAGUGUCUAAAUUCAAAUGUGGAAAUCAGCAAUCACGUGUGGUGUUAAGCAUAGAAGGCAUGUGAGUGAUGAAAAAAAUAGAACUAGGAAAUAGACACUUCAACGUAGUGUCUGAAUCGAAAAUAAAAACUAAUACCAAGAAACAGACACUGCAUUACAAUGUCUGAAUUCAAAUGUAAAAACGGGCAUGUAUGAGGCAUGUGAGUGAUGGAAAAAACAAAACUAUGAAAUGGACAAUGCAACACAGCGAUUGAAUCCAAAUGUAAAAAACAGACACUCCAACUCUGAUUUGUGUUAUUCCAAAACUUGGGUUGUAUUUUGGCGAUCUUUUCAUAUUAUUCCACUUCUGAAGAACUCUACCCUGAGUAAUCAACCGGAUAUAAUGACUCAUUUCAUUAACCGAAUCAUGCUACGUGGUAGCAGAAGUGUAAAGGUUUUAAAUCUCAAGGGCCGUAGGCAAAAGAGCUUUGAAGAAAGCUUUAAGUUGUAGCUGAGGAACUCAGAGUCUUGCUAAAGAGUAUUUGAAGGUUGUGUUUAAAGGCAGUUACGUUGAUUGAAGAAUCGCUUGACGUUUUUCAUUGUACAGAUUGAAUUUGAUGAAGGGUUUGAGUUUGGAAGCCUGUCUGACUAUUUAUAGGAAUCUGGAGGAACAUCCUUGAUCUUAUUGCUAAGCUAGAGUAGGGGUAGAUAAGUCUUUUGACGUUGGAAAUAACUGCAUUCCUUCGUAGGUGCCUUGCCUAUGCGUUUCUGCCGUUUACAUGUUGUUGUGUUGUCAUCAGCCAUGUCUAGUAAUGCGUCUUUGGUCAUUUACGUGGUAGACGUGGUUUUAGGAUGAGUAAACCCAAGUUCUUGAGAGACCAUGAAGUACUGAGAAGAGGUCAUGACAAGCCCUAAAUAACUAGUCCGAGUUGAGCUUUGAAGUUAGUGGGCUAGUGUCACACGUUUUUACUUAAAUAAAAAUUAAUUUUCCUCGUAAUAAACCUAAUUUUCACUUUUACACAAUGACUAUUGUAACAACCAAUUGGACAAUAAAAAAACUCACAAGUGGUUCCCUCCGGCCAAAUCGACUAGAAGUUGUGAAACAACUCAUCGCACUACUUUGGAAUUCCAAAUUCAUCAUACUACUUUGAAAUUUCAAACAUGAUAAGCUGUAAAAAGUAUUGAAAACAUUUUAGGUUCAUGCUUUUGUUAUUAGAAAUUGAAUUCAAAUUAAAAAACAUGCUCCACAUGAAGUGGUGCCUCUUACUGAAAGGGUGCAAAUAUGGUUUUGAAGGGUUUUCAAACCCCUUCAAAAAUGGACACUUGAGUCUAUAAAUAAAGGACGAAUUUUUUAGUUUAUUACCUACAAAAUCACAUACAAGUGCUACAUGAAAAAUAUUUCCAUUCUUCCCACCUUUUCUUAGAAAAGCACCGUAUAUAUACUCUACAGUUUUUGUUCUUGCUUUCCGCUUGAGUUUUCUUGUUAUAUUUAGUGUAUAUGAGGUUCGUCUUAGGAGUAAGCAAAACUUUGACAAACAAAAAGCGUUAUCCCAAACUUUAAUUUAUUCACAAGGCUAAUUUGCAGCUCCCUUUUGAACACAAAUUGUGGGUUAAUUAAAAGUCUGAAAGACAACGCCAUAAUAUAUAAUGAAACAAUCUUUUCAUCAUACUUUCUUCUACAUAACCAUAACUCAUUAGUCUUAAUUAUCCAGCAUUCUGGUGUAAUGUUGAUAAUAAUAUUUAUGUCUUUUUUUGUUUUUAUAUUGUUUUAAUAGGAAACUUCAAUCUAAUCCUUGGCAAAGAUGACUUUUAGACUAAAAUCAUGAGUAAGAUCAACAUAUAAUUUAAGUCCCUUGAUACAUUAAUAACCUCAUUUAUUAAUUACAUUUGCAUUUUUUAAUUAUUUCUCAUUUUCUUCCUAAUUUUAAUGUAUUAAUUUUAUUUCAUUAUAAUUAUAAUUUUCAUUUCAUUUAUCGUAAUAUAUUUUGUUGUAAACAUUUAGAUAAACUAAUUUUUGUUAUACAAUAUAUUUCAAUGUACAUUGUGUUCUUCAUUUAGGUACAUUAAAUUCAUUAUAAUACAUUUCGGUGCAUACAUUUAGGUACACACAUUUCGGUACAUAUAUUUCGAUACAAUCAUUUAAGUACAUUAAUUCAAUAUAAUAUAUUUUGGUACAUACAUUUCGGUACUAACAUUUCAGUGAAUACAUUUCGGUACACACAUUUAGGUACAUUAAUUUAAUAUAAUACAUUUCGGUGCAUAUAUUUCAAUACAUACAUUUUAGUACUAAUAUUUAAAUACAUUAGUUCAAUAUAAUACAUUUCGGUACAUACAUUUAGGUACAUUAAUUGAGUUUUUCAAGUUUGAAGAAUGUUAAAUAAAAUUAAUUAAUUUAAAAAAAACUUUUUUUUGGUAAAAAAAUAAAUUAAAAUUUGUAUAUUAAUAAAUUUAAAUAUUUAAUGGGAGACAUUAAAUAAAAUGCACAUUAAUUAUUUUGAAUUAAGGACACAUCAAGGGACUAUAAUCUACAUGUAAUCUAGCAUAAGGUUUAUUUUAAAUUUCAAUUUUCUUGAAGGAUUAAAGUUAAACCCCCCCCCCCAAAAAAAAAUGGAAGACUUUUUAAAAUAUUUGUCUAAUGAGAAUUAAACUAUAUAAAAAUUUAUACAGACAAUCACAAAACCAAACGGGUAAACUAAUAUGCAGACACAAUAAGCAAUAUACAUAAUAAAGGUACAUGAAUAUAUAUAUAUAUAUAUAUAUAUAUAUAUAGGUGCAUAUAUAUAUAGGUACACAUAUAUACAUAAGUUUAUACGUAUAGGUACACAAAUGUAUAUAUAGGUGCAUAUAUAUCGGUACAUAAAUAUAUAUUUAUGUACAUAUGCAUUGUGACAAUCCGUCCCUAAUUUUACAUUUUUAUUAAUUUUAAAAGCGUGAAUUUACGAAAAUGCCUUCGAGGCAAAGAUUUUGACCAUCGUUGGCCAUCAGUUUGAGGGACAUAGGACUUAUUCUUUUAGUGUAUUCUCGUAGUACUCGUCACUACAAACACAUAGGCGAAAACCAUUUGCAAGUCCGGAUUAUAACGGUAUAGUUACAGACAUUUGAAAUUAUUUAUUUAAAGUUAGUUAAAUAAAAUGAACUCCCAUCUUGUCAGAAAGAAGCCAAUCAGCUUUCAACAAGGAAAUAGGGAACCAAUCAUACUAUUUCUUUUGAGGACCAACCAGAAAAGUGGAAGAGAAAAACAAGGGCCAAUCAGGAAGAGGGAGAGAAGCUCCCAGCUUCUCCU
Molecule: long non-coding RNA, 4856 nt
Filed under: Malus domestica (apple)
Lineage: Eukaryota; Viridiplantae; Streptophyta; Magnoliopsida; Rosales; Rosaceae
Description: long non-coding RNA (MDOM_LNC015195)
Source: RNAcentral